Molecule: long non-coding RNA, 835 nt
Organism: Betta splendens (Siamese fighting fish)
Lineage: Eukaryota; Metazoa; Chordata; Actinopteri; Anabantiformes; Osphronemidae
Exons: 4
Source: RefSeq, a predicted model, not a curated record
AUGUGGCUGCAGGCGUACUGCGGCAGCAGCCGAGCGGCAUGACGUGAUAGAGGAGUGAAGUGACGGACAGAAACGCACACAAAUACACAGCGCUGGCAGCUCCGCGGCCUCAGAGGCAGCAGCAGGAGCGAGCCGGAGGACGUCAGCGGCACAGAUGGGAGACCAGCUCCCCCUCCGCGCUUUGUGUCCUCACACCUGCGGCGGCUUCCUGCCUCGAUGAAUGGAGAGGCGGCGCGGGCCAAUGGGAGGCCGGCGGUGAGGAUGCAACAGCGAUCCAGGAAAAAACACCCCAUUGUUCCCGAGCUGUUGGCAAAGUGUGACCUCCCUCCUGCCGGCGCUGGCUGCUCGGCCUCACCGUGAUCCAAGGACGGAGUCCCAGCGAAGGGAAGGGGACGCGUGGACCAGGAGGCCGAGCUCCCUCCUUCUCUCUUCUCUUGUGGCUUUCUGUUGGAUACCUGUGCCUUUCAGGAAUCCUGGCAGCUCCUUUGAGUGUUUUUGCUUCACCUCAAGGAUCUACGACAGCACCUUGCUCCUGCUGCUGCUGAUGCACAGCAGCAUGGGGCCGCUCCAUUAUUCGAUGUGACCAGGAUUCACUGCAGCAGCGCCAUCAAUCAGGACUUCCUCGGAAGGUCUUCAUGAAUGUGAGUGAAACCCGCGUGAGAUAAAAGAUGAGUGGAGGCGUUAAUGUGAAGGCCGCCCGCGGUCCGUCUUCAGGGAUCCCCCUCCCUCGCAGCCUGUUGCCGUCGUCCCCUCAAGCAGACCCCCGCCACCGGGUCAGUGACCUCCCCAGACCCUCGCCUCACACGCCCCGACGCACAACCACGCACGCGCCCAC